RNAcentral lists this unclassified non-coding RNA (359 nucleotides) under Hevea brasiliensis (rubber tree). Lineage: Eukaryota; Viridiplantae; Streptophyta; Magnoliopsida; Malpighiales; Euphorbiaceae. The record is from RNAcentral.
GUUUUUUUCUUGGUUCAAAAAAAAAAACUACAUUAAGUUAACAGAAUACAGCCCAUAGUAUUGACAGAUUCCACCUUGUUUCCAUGACUUGGAUUAAGAGAAUUAGUACAAAGAAUCUCCAUCUAAUUGAAAGCAACAGGACACAGCUUCAACAGUGAAUGUGAUAAUCAUCUCCAUCAUUCAAGCUUGACUACUGAUUCAUUAAUAGAUGGUAUCACAUGAAAUUCACAAUUGACUAUUGUGUAAGAUGUGUACUCUGCAUAAACAAUUUUUACAUCUUACUAGAGAUGUAUUUUUUGUCCCUUGUCAAGCUAGUCAGAUUCCAGGCAAAUCACUGAAAUUCAUAGACCAUUGGAUCC